GCAGCAAGGAGAAGAUCUCGGACUCGGAGGGUUUUAAAGCCAACUUGUCUCUCUUGAGGAGGCCUGGAGAGCAAACUUACACACAGCGCUGUCGUUUGUUUGUUGGGUAUCUACCUGCUGAUAUCACAGAGGAUGAAUUCAAAAGACUAUUUGCUAAAUACGGAGAACCGAGAGAAGUUUUUAUAAACAAAGGCAAAGGAUUUGGAUUGAUUAAACUCGAGUCUAGAGCCUUGGCUGAAAUUGCCAAAGCUGAACUUGAUGACACGCCCAUGAGAGGUAGACAGCUACGAGUUCCUUUUGCCACACGUGCUGCUGCCCUUUCUGUUCGUAAUCUUUCACCUUAUGUUUCCAAUGAACUGUUGGAAGAAGCUUUUAGCCAAUUUGGUCCUAUUGAAAGGGCUGUUGUAAUUGUGGAUGAUUGUGGAAGAUCUACAGGGAAAGGCAUUGUUGAAUUUGCUUGUAAACCAGCAGCAAGGAAAGCAUUUGAACGGUGCAGUGAAGGUGUUUUCUUACUGACAACAACUCCUCAUCCAGUUAUUGUGGAACCACUUGAACAAUUAGAUGAUGAAGAUGGAAAAACUUGCACAGAAGAAUCCAAUGUAUCAAAAGGAGAGAGAAACUCCUCCUCGUUUUGCCCAGCAUGGCACAUUUGAGUAUGAGCAUUCUUAGCGAUGGAAGUCCUCGGAUGAAAUGGAAAAACAGCAAAGGGAACAAGUUGAAAAAAAUAUGAAGGAUGCAAAAGACAAAUUGGAAAGUGAAAUGGAAGAUGCUUACCAUGAACAUCAGGCAAAUCUUUUGCGCCAAGAUCUGAUGAGACGGCAGGAAGAAUUAAGACGCAUGGAAGAACUUCAUAAUCAAGAAAUGCAGAAACGUAAAGAAAUGCAAUUGAGGCAAGAAGAGGAACGACGUAGAAGGGAGGAAGAGAUGAUGAUGCGUCAACGUGAGAUGGAAGAACAAAUGAGGCGCCAAAGAGAGGAAAGUUACAGUUGAAUGGGCUACAUGGAUCCAAGAGAAAGAGACAUGAGAAUGGGUGCUGGAGGAGCAAUGAACAUGGGAGAUCCCUGUGGUUCAGGAGGCCAGAAAUUUCCACCUCUAGGUGGUGGUGGUGGCAUAGGUUAUGAAGCUAAUCCUGGAGUCCCACCAGCAACUAUGAGUGGUUCCAUGAUGGGAAGCGACAUGCGUACUGAGCGCUUUGGGCAGGGAGGUGCGGGGCCUGUGGGUGGACAGGGUCCUAGGGGAAUGGGGCCUGGAACUCCAGCAGGAUAUGGUAGAGGGAGAGAAGAGUAUGAAGGCCCAAACAAAAAACCCCGAUUUUAGAUGUGAUACCUAGGCUUCCAGUUUGUUUUUGUCUUUUCUUGUUUAGAUACCUAUCUUUUAAAUUCUUGCAUUUUAGUAAAAAAGCUACCUUUUUAUGGAUGUUAGCAGUUUAUUGACCUGAUAUUUGUAAAUGGUCUGUUUGGGCAGGUAAAAUUAUGUAAUGCAGUGUUUGAAA
RNA transcript from Nycticebus coucang (slow loris), 1492 nucleotides. It is a transcript of the gene named splicing factor, proline- and glutamine-rich-like, with no coding region annotated. The record is from RefSeq and is a predicted model, not a curated record. The transcript has a single exon. NCBI's taxonomy places the organism in Eukaryota, Metazoa, Chordata, Mammalia, Primates, Lorisidae.